UACGUAGGGGGCGAGCGUUGUCCGGAUUUAUUGGGCGUAAAGAGCUCGUAGGCGGUUUGGCAAGUCGGGUGUGAAAACUCCGGGCUCAACUCGGAGACGCCACUCGAUACUGCCAUGACUUGAGUCCGGUAGGGGAGUGCGGAAUUCCUGGUGUAGCGGUGAAAUGCGCAGAUAUCAGGAGGAACACCGGUGGCGAAGGCGGCGAUCUGGGAAGAUACUGACGCUGAGGUGCGAAAGCGUGGGGAGCAAACAGG
Molecule: ribosomal RNA, 254 nt
Filed under: uncultured bacterium
Lineage: Bacteria
Description: partial 16S ribosomal RNA
Rfam family: Bacterial small subunit ribosomal RNA
Source: RNAcentral